Molecule: ribosomal RNA, 386 nt
Filed under: uncultured bacterium
Lineage: Bacteria
Description: bacterial SSU rRNA
Rfam family: Bacterial small subunit ribosomal RNA
Source: RNAcentral
GACGAACGCUGGCGGCGUGCCUAAUACAUGCAAGUCGAACGGUCUUUUCUAUGGAAGCUUGCUUCCGCUGAGAAGAUAGUGGCGAACGGGUGAGUAACACGUGGGUAACCUGCCCAUAAGAGGGGGAUAACAUCCGGAAACGGGUGCUAAUACCGCAUAGGUUUCUUGGUCGCAUGAUCGAGAAAGGAAGACGCUUUUGCGUCACUGAUGGAUGGACCCGCGCUGCAUUAGCUAGUUGGUGGGUAACGGCUCACCAAGGCCACGAUGCAUAGCCGACCUGAGAGGGUAUCGGCCACACUGGGACUGAGACACGGCCCAGACUCCUACGGGAGCAGCAGUAGGGAAUCUUCGGCAAUGGACGAAGUCUGACCGAGCAACGCCGCGUG